CCCAGUCUCAUCUUCAUACGACAAAUCUUGAAAUAAUGGUUCUAAUGUCUUCGUUUGAGUCACUUGUGAUCCUAUAAUUGUGUAAAAGUUUUCCAUUAUGUUUAAUGAUCUUGCUCCCUCCUCGUAUCAAUUAUGUAGCAUAUGUUCUCAUUAUAUGUUUCUUUGUCUUCUCAUUUUGAUGAUCAAUCAAUUCAAUAAACAAUCUCUCUCUACGUUAAGUAAGAGUGUUACGACAUACCAACGUUCGUUUGAUUAUGUCAUCAAUUGUAACGAUACGGUUUCGCCAAGAUUGUAUCCAUCUGGUCAUAAAACCUCUCUUGUUCGAGUUUUAAGGAAAAAUACCAAAUCUCUUCACUGUGGAUCUAUUUCUAUUCUUUCUUAUUUGUAAAUUUAAAUCGUUAUAAUUUUGGAAUUUCCGCGAUCUAACUUCUUUGAACCAAAUUAGAUCCCGCAGUGUGGCGGGUCUUUUGAACAUAUAGAUCCCAUGAUACAAGUUACCUCUAGGGGUGUCGAACAAGAGACUUUCGAGGAGUUAAAGGGAACCUAACCACAAAGAAUUUAUAAAAUCUGUUUCCCUUAAAUCUAUUUAUUUAUUAUGAUUCCUAAAGCUUUUGCUUGCUCAACUUUAGUUCCGGGCCAGGCCUAGAUACAACCAUAGUGAAAUCAUAUCACUAAAAUUGAUGAUGAAAUCAAACAAACGUUAGUAAGUCAUUACACUCUUGAGACACUUACUUUUGAGAA
Molecule: long non-coding RNA, 741 nt
Filed under: Capsella grandiflora
Lineage: Eukaryota; Viridiplantae; Streptophyta; Magnoliopsida; Brassicales; Brassicaceae
Description: long non-coding RNA (CGRA_LNC000690)
Source: RNAcentral